Molecule: ribosomal RNA, 301 nt
Filed under: uncultured bacterium
Lineage: Bacteria
Description: partial 16S ribosomal RNA
Rfam family: Bacterial small subunit ribosomal RNA
Source: RNAcentral
CAGUCGCCGCGGGAAUACGAAGGGUGCAAGCGUUACUCGAAAUUACUGGGCGUAAAGGGCGCGUAGGUGGUUAUGUAAGUGAGAUGUGAAAUCCCCGGGCUCAACCUGGGAACUGCAUCUUAUACUGCGUAGCUGGAGUGCAGUAGAGGGUAGUGGAAUUUCCGGUGUAGCGGUGAAAUGCGUUGAGAUCGGGAGGAACGCCCGUGGCGAAAGCGAGGUCCUGGACGUUUACUGACGCUGAGACGCGAAAGCCAGGGGAGCGAACGGGAUUAGAGACCCCUGUAGUCCCUGUCUCUUAUAC